GUGGGGAAUAUUGGACAAUGGGCGAAAGCCUGAUCCAGCCAUUCCGCGUGUGUGAAGAAGGUCUUCGGAUUGUAAAGCACUUUAAGUUGGGAGGAAGGGCAGUAAGUUAAUACCUUGCUGUUUUGACGUUACUGACAGAAUAAGCACCGGCUAACUUCGUGCCAGCAGCCGCGGUAAUACGAAGGGUGCAAGCGUUAAUCGGAAUUACUGGGCGUAAAGCGCGCGUAGGUGGUUUUGUAAGUUGGAGGUGAAAUCCCCGGGAUCAACCUGGGAACUGCCUCGAAAACGGCAUGACUAGAGGACGCUAGAGGGUAGGGGAAUUUCCUGUGUAGCGGUGAAAUGCGUAGUUAUAGGAAGGAACACCAGUGGCGAAGGCGACUACCUGGACUGAUACUGACACGGAGGUGCGAAAGCGUGGGGAGCAAACAGGAUUAGAUACCCGAGUAGUCC
RNAcentral lists this ribosomal RNA (450 nucleotides) under uncultured bacterium. RNAcentral describes it as "partial 16S ribosomal RNA". It matches the Rfam family "Bacterial small subunit ribosomal RNA", at positions 354 to 796 of the family's 1533-position model. The record is from RNAcentral.